UCCGGUUUGUCACCGGCAGUCUCAUUAGAGUGCCCAACUAAAUGUAGCAACUAAUGACAAGGGUUGCGCUCGUUGCGGGACUUAACCCAACAUCUCACGACACGAGCUGACGACAGCCAUGCAGCACCUGUGUCCAGGCCCCGUAAGGGGAGGAAUCCAUCUCUGGAAACCGUCCUGGCAUGUCAAACGCUGGUAAGGUUCUGCGCGUUGCUUCGAACUAAACCACAUGCUCCACCGCUUGUGCAGGCCCCCGUCAAUUUCUUCGAGUUUUAACCUUGCGGCCGUACUCCCCAGGCGGAGAACUUAACGCGUUAGCGACGGCACCGGGAGGGUCGCUCCCCCCGACGCCUAGUGCCCAUCGUUUACGGCGUGGACUAC
RNAcentral lists this unclassified non-coding RNA (378 nucleotides) under uncultured Sphingomonadaceae bacterium. RNAcentral describes it as "contains 16S-23S intergenic spacer region". Lineage: Bacteria; Pseudomonadati; Pseudomonadota; Alphaproteobacteria; Sphingomonadales; Sphingomonadaceae. The record is from RNAcentral.